This 258-nucleotide unclassified non-coding RNA is filed under the name Buckland Valley grapevine yellows phytoplasma. RNAcentral's name for it is "16S-23S intergenic spacer". The stretch from base 109 to 182 matches the Rfam family "tRNA". The record is from RNAcentral. Lineage: Bacteria; Bacillati; Mycoplasmatota; Mollicutes; Acholeplasmatales; Acholeplasmataceae.
UCUAAGGAAAAUUAUCAUCUUCAGUUUUGAGAGACUUAAACAAGUUUUUCAUUUUUUUUGUUUUUACCAACAUUUUUCUUAAUUUCUCUUUUUAAGAUCUAAGAUCAAGGGCCUAUAGCUCAGCUGGUUAGAGCACACGCCUGAUAAGCGUGAGGUCGGUGGUUCGAGUCCAUUUAGGCCCACCACCAAUUCCAAAUCUUAAAAAAUUAAUUGAAAAAGAAGCUCUUUGAAAAGUAGAUAAACUAAGGUUAAAAAGUA